RNAcentral lists this ribosomal RNA (253 nucleotides) under uncultured bacterium. Its description in RNAcentral is "partial 16S ribosomal RNA". It matches the Rfam family "Bacterial small subunit ribosomal RNA", at positions 524 to 776 of the family's 1533-position model. The record is from RNAcentral.
UACGUAGGGGGCAAGCGUUGUCCGGAUUUAUUGGGCGUAAAGAGCGUGUAGGCGGCCUGACAGGUCUGCUGUGAAAACUCGAGGCUCAACCUCGAGAUGUCGGCGGAAACCGUCUGGCUAGAGUCCGGAAGAGGAGAGUGGAAUUCCUGGUGUAGCGGUGAAAUGCGCAGAUAUCAGGAAGAGCACCUAUGGCGAAGGCAGCUCUCUGGGACGGUACUGACGCUGAGACGCGAAAGCGUGGGGAGCGAACAGG